This 219-nucleotide ribosomal RNA is filed under the name uncultured bacterium. RNAcentral describes it as "partial 16S ribosomal RNA". It matches the Rfam family "Bacterial small subunit ribosomal RNA", at positions 118 to 351 of the family's 1533-position model. The record is from RNAcentral.
UGGGAAUCUGCCCUUGGGUUCGGGAUAACAGUUGGAAACGACUGCUAAUACCGGAUGAUGACUUCGGUCCAAAGAUUUAUUGCCCAGGGAUGAGCCCGCGUAGGAUUAGCUAGUUGGUGAGGUAAAGGCUCACCAAGGCAACGAUCCUUAGCUGGUCUGAGAGGAUGAUCAGCCACAGUUGGGACUGAGACACCGGCCCAAACUCCGUACGGGAGGCAG